GUGAAUUGGCACAGAGGUUCAGAGCACUGACUGUUCUUCCAGAGGUCCUGAGUUCAAUUCCCAGCAACCACA
Molecule: transfer RNA, 72 nt
Filed under: Mus musculus (house mouse)
Lineage: Eukaryota; Metazoa; Chordata; Mammalia; Rodentia; Muridae
Description: tRNA-Asn
Source: RNAcentral